Molecule: long non-coding RNA, 1055 nt
Filed under: Equus asinus (donkey)
Lineage: Eukaryota; Metazoa; Chordata; Mammalia; Perissodactyla; Equidae
Description: lncRNA (ENSEASG00005031280.1)
Source: RNAcentral
UACUUUGAAUUUUUUAAAAUACUGCAUUUCAACGUUACUUAUCUCGAUUACUGAGGUUUUGGCACUCAAAAAUUUUGUCCCUGGGCAAGCCCCUCAUUUGUCUCCCCCUAGUCCUGGCUCUGUAUAAAGUGAUUCAAAAGUGAUUCCCCUGCUUAAGUCCCUUCAAAUUCUCUCCAGGUCUUUCAGGAUCAAGUUCAUGGUGGGUAAGUAUGGGAAGUCCCUAAGGCUCUGGUCCGGGCCCUUCCCUUCUGCUCCAUUAAAGACACUUUCCACCAAAGACGAAUCUCUGACCUGGAGCCUCUCAGCGUCCUGCCUUCCUUCACGCUGUUUCCUUUGCCUGAGACUCGCUUUCCUGUUUUCUUUCUCCAGCUGAUCCCUACUCCGGCUUCAUUCCGCUUCUCUGGUGGCAGCGUCGGGAUUUGUGCGGCCUGAAGUUCCCACGCGGCCUUCGUCUUUGUGGGCUUCGCUGGCCUUCCACCCGCAGCUCCAUCUUCCCGGAGGCUGACGCCUAGGGGUGGUCGGCUUCACGUGCUGUCCUCCCCGCCGGACUCCAGUUGGGAGGAAGCAGCAGGAGAGGAGAGGCGGCAAGAACAGAGAGGUCGGUGUGGAUGCCUGCUCCCUCCCUGCCCGAGCCUUGGUUCUGACGCUGGCAGCACUCUCUCACAGCUCCUGCUGGGUCAGAUGAAGAUGCUCUCCCUGGGAACCUCCUCCUGCCCCUGCAGGCCGAGGAGGGUCAUGGUCUCCUGCAGUUGCCAGUUCCGUGGGCCUCCCCCUCUGUGAAAGCUUGGAAGUUGUCACUCCCAUCCUCACAACAAGAAAAAAGCUGAACAAUGUGAAUUUAUGAUAAAAACUUUCAGAAAACUAAGAAUAGAGGGCAACUUCCUCAACUUGAUAAAGAACACCUACAAAAAGCUUACAGCUAACGUCAUACAUACUGGAACCAAAGCAAAGCAAUGCCAGAUGCCAAAUUGCAGAACUGGGUCCAAACCAGAAAGGUCCAAGAUGGCAAUGGGGUGCCAUGCACAAAAGGAAACGUGUGCCAAAGGUGCCAUGUG